This 1234-nucleotide long non-coding RNA is filed under the name Chrysemys picta bellii (western painted turtle). Its description in RNAcentral is "lncRNA (ENSCPBG00000024632.1)". The record is from RNAcentral. Lineage: Eukaryota; Metazoa; Chordata; Testudines; Emydidae.
AUGAUCCUGACAAACAACCAGCCAGUCACACUCCUCUUGUGCCUUGAACUGUGGUGUCAUCCUGAGCUCAAGGGACAAUUAGAAGACUUGUGCCCCUCUUCUCCACCUUCAACGCAGGAGAGAGGCCAUAAGGUGCACUACUCCAGAGAUCAGGGAAGACUCAGAUCUUCCCUCCGCAGCAGGAAGUGUAAACUUUCUCCGAAGGCUCCAACAUACUACAGCCUCAAGACUAAGUCUUGCCCAAUCUCUAAGACAAAACUGGAACUGACAGUCACUUAACACAGUAAGCAUUGUGAUGCUUCUGGUGCACUCAGGUGCUGACCCUUCUCUGGCACCGUGCACACCAGGACAUUCCUCAAUGCCCCCUGUUGGGUACAAUGACCUUAUCAAUUAAUGAAGGGCUCCUAGAACCAGCAAAUUUGAUAUGGGUGCACUCCUGCUUCCAUCCUCAUUGCCUCUAUGUGUACUGUUAGGAGAUACCAGCAUCCCAUCCUGGGGUAUCUGGUUGUCCAGGCCAUCCAGUAGAGAUUGGAACAACAAUCCAGAUCCAUUCCCAGAAAAUAAGAUCAUUGAAGUUGGAUCUUUUUAGAGGGAAAGUUUAUUCCUCAGCAAGACUCCAAUUAAGAAUCACUAUGUUGAUGUCUACACUGCAGCCUCUACAGGUGUCCAGGCACAGAGAGGUAUGCAAACCCUCCUAUUUUUCACACUCAACCUCCUAAAGCAUGCAUUUUGGGGCAAGUAGAUUCCAAGCUAGCCAGCUCAUCUGAGAGGUGUAGGUAUGUGUUUCGGUGAGCUGUGGCCCAGCCCCAAACCUAUCCGCUUUGCAAUGUGGCUGUAGCGAAGACACAGACACCUAGUCUCGAGUCUGAAUAGCCCUUCAUUCCCCUGAUACUCUGUAUCCAUAUCUUCUUCCCCUUCUAUUAACUUCCUACUGCCCCAGUAUGCCCCUGAAAUUGCAUGCUACAGCCUUCAUCAGCUUAAAAUAUCCAUAAAUCAGGGAACAACUAAUUGGCCAGAGAAGCAAACUAGGAUUUUAAUCAAUACAUGGCAAGAUUAUGGCCAUGAGCAUGAUUUCGCUUGGAGCAGAAGGACUAUACAUCUGUAUGCUUGUAUAUCCACGAGGCUGGUUAAGUUGGGCAUUGGGCGUACUGCUGUUCUGCACAAGAGAGAGAAUGAAACAUUUGAAGCAAUAAUACUGGAAGGUCCAGGACACCAAUACAAAGUCAGGAAACAU